This 745-nucleotide long non-coding RNA is filed under the name Trifolium pratense (red clover). Its description in RNAcentral is "long non-coding RNA (TPRA_LNC009040)". Lineage: Eukaryota; Viridiplantae; Streptophyta; Magnoliopsida; Fabales; Fabaceae. The record is from RNAcentral.
GAUUUUUAACUUUUUUCCAUCAAUGAUCAACUCUGCUUAACUCUUGGAUGCUAGCUUUUCUUUUGUCUUCUGGAUGCUAGCUUCUCAAACAAUACGAUGCUGGUUGGAUUUAGUGGCAUAUCUAUGACGGCUUCGGUAUGUGAGUCUCACAGCCAUGGUGAUUGUUGUUUCAAUUGGAUUUUUUAAGACUUGGUAAUUCCACUCAAUUUGGUGAAGAAUUUAUUUUCUUGUUUCAAUUCAAUUUGUUUGUGAAAACUUGAUAACCCCACUACAUCAUUUGUCUUGCCUGUGAAGUGUUUGUUUAAUUGUUUCAAUUGGAAUUGAAAACUUGGUGGGUGACGUUAAACUCCUUUGACUGAUUUUGUUUGAAGGCUUAUUGUUGGUUAGCACUACUUUAUUUUGUUCUAAGACCAUCAGAUUGAAAAAUUGUGAAUUCUUGUAUUUGAUAUGGCUGCUUCUAUUGCUCCUCUCCCUGUUGGUUAUGGUAUUGGUCCUAUAUACUCACACGAGACUACUUCACCAGUGUUUGAUCUUGCUGAGAAGUUCCAAAAUUUUCUUGCUGCUCAGCCUCAUGCCACAUCUGUCUCUUAUGUUAAAGGUUUGACUCCCUCUAACUUGUCAGAUAUAUCUUCUUCUAUAUGGAUAUUUGAUUCUGGAGCAUCACAUCAUAUGUCGUAUGAUCGUAAGUCCUUUUUGUCUUUAAAUCCUACAUCAUCUAUGUCGGUUAUGACUGCUGAUGGCACUC